CUGGGAAUGAUGCACACUUCAUAACUCCUGACUGUUAAUGAUGGUGUUAGUAUUCAUACUGUCUGAUCCAG
Molecule: small nucleolar RNA, 71 nt
Filed under: Esox lucius (northern pike)
Lineage: Eukaryota; Metazoa; Chordata; Actinopteri; Esociformes; Esocidae
Source: RNAcentral